AUACGAAGGGUGCAAGCGUUACUCGGAAUUACUGGGCGUAAAGCGUGCGUAGGUGGCUGUUUAAGUCUGUCGUGAAAGCCCUGGGCUCAACCUGGGAAUGGCGAUGGAAACUGGGCGACUAGAGUGUGGCAGAGGGUAGUGGAAUUCCUGGUGUAGCAGUGAAAUGCGUAGAGAUCAGGAGGAACAUCCGUGGCGAAGGCGACUGCCUGGGCCAACACUGACACUGAGGCACGAAAGCGUGGGGAGCAAACAGGAUUAGAUACCCUGGUAGUCCACGCCCUAAACGAUGCGAACUGGAUGUUGGGUGCAAUUUGGCACGCAGUAUCGAAGCUAACGCGUUAAGUUCGCCGCCUGGGGAGUACGGUCGCAAGACUGAAACUCAAAUGAAUUGACGGGG
RNAcentral lists this ribosomal RNA (397 nucleotides) under uncultured bacterium. RNAcentral describes it as "partial 16S ribosomal RNA". It matches the Rfam family "Bacterial small subunit ribosomal RNA", at positions 523 to 918 of the family's 1533-position model. The record is from RNAcentral.